Benincasa hispida (wax gourd) is the source of this 2236-nucleotide non-coding RNA. NCBI's taxonomy places the organism in Eukaryota, Viridiplantae, Streptophyta, Magnoliopsida, Cucurbitales, Cucurbitaceae. The record is from RefSeq and is a predicted model, not a curated record.
UUUAAAAUUAAACCAAACACACCGAAGCUUCAGCUUCAAGCUUCGGAACUUCGAGAAAAAUGGAAAAGAAGGAAACUGCCGGCGAUGCCGAUCGUCCAUGGCAGUCUUACCACACUGUCUACACCAAUGCAAAAGCCGGUCAUAGGUGUUGUUUUUAAUAUCUUGGCCAUCAUUUAGAAGACUGGCAGCGGACUAAUAUUGCUUGGUGAUCAGGAAAAUGAAUCUACCAUUGUUUAAUUCUUUGACCAGAUCAUUAGAAGCUGACCUUGCGGAGAUGCUGUCAAUGGACAUGGAAAAAGAAGGUCUAACUGGGCGGACACUGACUAAACUGAAAACUGCAUCCUUUGAGGUACAUUAUUUGCCCUGAAUCCUGUUAAAUCUGUUUAGAUUGGAUAGAGAAGAAAUUCCAUAUGUGUAAUAUGUUGAGAUUUCAAUAACCACUCAUUCAGAUGUGUGAUUUCUAUUAACUGCUACUUUCUUCCCGUAGAAGAAAUUAAUUUUAAGCUUAUAAUCACUACUUUCAUCUAUAUGUUUCUUUGUUUUGUUUUCUCGCCAUCGAAAGGUUAUAUCUAAAUUAAAAUUUGAAAACUUGAAAAACUAAUCUAUCAACUUUGUUUUUUUGUUUUUGAAUUUUUCAUAAGAUUUCAAAUGUGUUUUUAAAGAAAGUGAAGUAGACAAAAUUGUUAGAAAAGAAGCAUACAUUUUAAAACACAACUAAAGAAGUUGUUAUCAAAUGGAGCUUUAGAGUUCAUUUUUCACUAGCGUUGAUAUCACGUGCUUGGUUUUCUAUGUUCUAAUAUGCACAAAAUGUGAUCCACUGUAUGUCUCACAUAUGGUGAAGUAAACUUUGAAAUCCUUUGAUCUUGCAACUUACAACUUACAACAUUUAGUUUGGAAAGAGAUUUCUAACAUCUCCAGGGCUGCGGAUAUCUCAUUUCAAUGAAGAUGGAGCCAUUGCUGGGUCUGAUCCAACCCAAAGAUCUAUUACUAGAUUUAUGGGGAUCUUACUAGAAAAAGUAUGGAUGGUUGUUGCUCCUUGAAUCCCGAUUCUGACAAUCAUGGUUUCAUGGAUGACACUGAAAUUGAUGUAUGCAUCAAUAGUACUGAUUCUGAAACACACCAUCAAGAUAGUACUGAGGAAAGAAUCAACAACAAUUUCUCGAAUACGGAUGAGAGCGACUGUAUGUCCAACAAUGAUACUGAGAAGUCGGAAAAACUUGAGAAUCUUUUGAGCAACACAGCACUGAUCAGGCAAACAUUUUUAAUGCCAUGGGAAGCACCCCAGAUUCCUCGGACGCCUUAAUCCCUCGAGCCUUGAGCACAGCAUGUGCUUCAUCUAGAAACCUUGAGGGCAAUCCCAAUAAAUGUAGAUACCGAAAGUCGGGUUGAGGUAAGGUCACCAGAUAACAAUGGAAAGAUUUGGUGGAUAGAUGACUAUAAAUGAACAAUCUGUGGUACUGGAGUGCCAGCGAGUUUUGUUGACGAAAGAAAAGAGCACAUAGAUUUCCACGUUGCAGAAAAUCUUCAAGGAGAGGAAUCUGGCAUUCGUUCAAGAACCCUUUCGCCAAGGCAAAGGACUACUGACAAGAACCUACUGUCAAGUCAAGUACAAAAGAAAAAGUCAACUCCAAAGAAAGAGGCCAAACAUAUUCCAAUUGACUUAUUCUGUGUGAAGAGUAAUCAGAAGUUUUAAUAAUUAAUAUUAUUACAUUUUAUCGUUGUAUAUAUUUGUCCAUACUUUUUUUCAGACAAAAGCAAUUGAGAAACAGCGAACCAAAAACUACACCCUCACCUCCUCAUUAUGGAUAAGAUGGAGAAUAUAAGCAACAAAGACAUUUUCAAAGAAACGAGGAUGCCAAAACUGCAAUAGUGUGAGCGGUUUGGUUUUAUUCUCCUUUUUGGGAUGUGACAAAAACAGGAAUUAUUAAUUGAGUUAGCUAUAAAAAGAAUGUUCUCGAUGAGAAUCCUGAUAUCAAUUACAGAGUUAUCCUUUCUGUUCAAAAGAUUGAUGACUUCCAAUGCAUCAGAUUCCACCUCCAACGGCGCUCACGCUCGAUUGCGAUCAGACCUCUUGGGACAUUAUUCAUUGUUUUUUAAAGUUAGUUCAUCAUUCCAUUUGUCUCAUGCAACAUCAUAAGUUUGUACAUUAUUGUAUAGCAAUAAUUAUUCUCUGGAUUGUGGCAAAGAAGCUGGCCGAGUGCCUGCCCUAAUGACAAAUGACAAUUUUCUUUUUUUG